CGGGUCUGGGAAAAAUCUUGGCCGCGACUGAUCCACACUUUCAGCUGAAGAAAUAACGUGAAGAAGAGCCUCCCAUACCUCAAGCAUGAAGGAAUGAAUCUCAACUGUAUUUAGUACAUUGAAGAAUAACCAACCACCAACUUUUAGAAGAGCAGCAGACCUUAGGAAUAUAUCAUCUUGAAGGUGUGCUCAUCCCAUACUAAUCCCCCGAUAGAGAACCAGGAGGAAGAGAUGAAGAAAAGGAACAAGAUGACAUCCAGUCUCACCGUGAUGCUAAUCUGUUUGUUCUUUUUUGUGCUAUCAACGUCAAGAUCAGAACGAGUUCCUUACGAGUAUGCGGCGGUUGCCACAACUCUUGGUUCGCGAUCUCGGGUCGGCGGCGUGACAAACAGCAAAUGCAUUCCAUCCACGUUCCAUAUCAGGUUGGUGCAUACACCGAGUAAAGUGGAUAGUUAGCAAGGUGAAUGGAUUGCAAAUGUUAUUUCUACUACUCUCCAUGCAUUUCAUCUAGAUCCAAUCACUUGCCACAUAAUGAGAGCUAAAGAGAAACAUAUGGUAAAAGGAUAAUAAACAUUUUGCACCAAUAUUGAAAAGUGAGAAAUAAUACUCAUAAUGCAAUAGGUCAGUGUCAUAUAAAAAGUUGGAAUACUUGUAUGAAACUUGGCAUAUUGGGAACAAUUUUGUAAGGAAUUUUUUUGGUUAGGAUGUUCAUUUGCUAAAAGAUUUAUACAAAAGAGAGAGAGAGGGGACAAAAAAAAGUGUAAGUUUUUCUAGAGUUGUUAGAACAAUUAACCAUUACACAUCAAUUUCAGGAAACCAUAAUGGUAUGUUUAAUAUAUAGAACUGACUGUGAAUAUAAUUCUAGUCUGCAAUAAUAUAUACAUUUUGUUUCCACCAUUAUUAUUAAGUUAUUAGAGUUUACUUCGUGCAAACAAGGGAACAUGGAAGUCAUGUUUCAAAAGUACGAUGUUUUGUCAACUAAAGAACAAUUUCUGCAGUCCAAUUGACAAGCCUGAAGCAUUGGCAGGCACCCAUCUCAUCGUUCUCUCACAACUGUUGACUGAGAGCAGACACACAAGGCCAUACACAUAAUCACAUUUUCUCACGCGUGUUAUAUGUCAUAUACAAACUUGUCUGUUAAUGAAUGUCAUGAUCUUUUCCCUUAUAAUUGCUUGCAGAUCAUGGUUCAUGCCACUUUGAAUCACUCCCCUGAUGCUACGAAGUUGUGUCAUCAUAAAGAUUUCAAGCUUUUCCCGUCAUGAUGCUUGAGCUGAUCAUCUUGUGGGUCAAAUCUCUCCCUUGGUCCAAAGAACAAGGACAGGCAACAGAUUAUGAUAUUUCCUUUUCUAAAUUUUGGAAUUUAAAUUCCUUGCAUUUGUCUCAUUAUCAUUAUGGAAGUUCAGAUAUCAGUUUAUGCUGUUUUCUGUGAUCUAAGCAACAAGGAUAAUCAACAAAGUGCCAGUUUUCUGUA
Non-coding RNA from Phoenix dactylifera (date palm), 1471 nucleotides. The record is from RefSeq and is a predicted model, not a curated record. NCBI's taxonomy places the organism in Eukaryota, Viridiplantae, Streptophyta, Magnoliopsida, Arecales, Arecaceae.